Molecule: ribosomal RNA, 460 nt
Filed under: uncultured bacterium
Lineage: Bacteria
Description: partial 16S ribosomal RNA
Rfam family: Bacterial small subunit ribosomal RNA
Source: RNAcentral
CCUACGGGGGGCAGCAGUGAGGAAUAUUGGUCAAUGGACGAGAGUCUGAACCAGCCAAGUAGCGUGAAGGAUGACUGCCCUAUGGGUUGUAAACUUCUUUUAUAUGGGAAUAAAACGUUCCCCGUGUGGGAUUUUGUAUGUACCAUAUGAAUAAGGAUCGGCUAACUCCGUGCCAGCAGCCGCGGUAAUACGGAGGAUCCGAGCGUUAUCCGGAUUUAUUGGGUUUAAAGGGAGCGUAGGUGGAUUGUUAAGUCAGUUGUGAAAGUUUGCGGCUCAACCGUAAAAUUGCAGUUGAAACUGGCAGUCUUGAGUACAGUAGAGGUGGGCGGAAUUCGUGGUGUAGCGGUGAAAUGCUUAGAUAUCACGAAGAACUCCGAUUGCGAAGGCAGUUCACUGGACUGCAACUGACACUGAGGCUCGAAAGUGUGGGUAUCAAACAGGAUUAGAUACCCCAGUAGUC